GAUGAACGCUGGCGGCGUGCCUAAUACAUGCAAGUCGAGCGAACAGAUGAGGAUCUUGCUCCUCUGACGUUAGCGGCGGACGGGUGAGUAACACGUGGAUAACCUACCUAUAAGACUGGGAUAACUUCGGGAAACCGGAGCUAAUACCGGAUAAUAUAUUGAACCGCAUGGUUCAAUAGUGAAAGACGGUUUUGCUGUCACUUAUAGAUGGAUCCGCGCCGCAUUAGCUAGUUGGUAAGGUAACGGCUUACCAAGGCAACGAUGCGUAGCCGACCUGAGAGGGUGAUCGGCCACACUGGAACUGAGACACGGUCCAGACUCCUACGGGAGGCAGCAGUAGGGAAUCUUCCGCAAUGGGCGAAAGCCUGACGGAGCAACGCCGCGUGAGUGAUGAAGGUCUUCGGAUCGUAAAACUCUUUUAUUAGGGAAGAACAAAUGUGUAAGUAACUAUGCACGUCUUGACGGUACCUAAUCAGAAAGCCACGGCUAACUACGUG
RNAcentral lists this ribosomal RNA (497 nucleotides) under uncultured bacterium. RNAcentral describes it as "partial 16S ribosomal RNA". It matches the Rfam family "Bacterial small subunit ribosomal RNA", at positions 28 to 507 of the family's 1533-position model. The record is from RNAcentral.